RNAcentral lists this ribosomal RNA (452 nucleotides) under Staphylococcus aureus. RNAcentral describes it as "bacterial SSU rRNA". It matches the Rfam family "Bacterial small subunit ribosomal RNA", at positions 196 to 636 of the family's 1533-position model. Lineage: Bacteria; Bacillati; Bacillota; Bacilli; Caryophanales; Staphylococcaceae. The record is from RNAcentral.
AAAAGUGAAAGACGGUCUUGCUGUCACUUAUAGAUGGAUCCGCGCUGCAUUAGCUAGUUGGUAAGGUAACGGCUUACCAAGGCAACGAUGCAUAGCCGACCUGAGAGGGUGAUCGGCCACACUGGAACUGAGACACGGUCCAGACUCCUACGGGAGGCAGCAGUAGGGAAUCUUCCGCAAUGGGCGAAAGCCUGACGGAGCAACGCCGCGUGAGUGAUGAAGGUCUUCGGAUCGUAAAACUCUGUUAUUAGGGAAGAACAUAUGUGUAAGUAACUGUGCACAUCUUGACGGUACCUAAUCAGAAAGCCACGGCUAACUACGUGCCAGCAGCCGCGGUAAUACGUAGGUGGCAAGCGUUAUCCGGAAUUAUUGGGCGUAAAGCGCGCGUAGGCGGUUUUUUAAGUCUGAUGUGAAAGCCCACGGCUCAACCGUGGAGGGUCAUUGGAAACUGG